UACGUAGGGUGCGAGCGUUAAUCGGAAUUACUGGGCGUAAAGCGUACGCAGGCGGCUAUGCAAGACAGGUGUGAAAUCCCCGGGCUUAACCUGGGAACUGCAUUUGUGACUGCAUAGCUAGAGUCUGUCAGAGGGGGGUGGAAUUCCACGUGUAGCAGUGAAAUGCGUAGAGAUGUGGAGGAACACCGAUGGCGAAGGCAGCCCCCUGGGACCUGACUGACGCUCAUGUACGAAAGCGUGGGGAGCAAACAGG
This 253-nucleotide ribosomal RNA is filed under the name uncultured bacterium. Its description in RNAcentral is "partial 16S ribosomal RNA". It matches the Rfam family "Bacterial small subunit ribosomal RNA", at positions 524 to 776 of the family's 1533-position model. The record is from RNAcentral.